This is a non-coding RNA of Oryza glumipatula, 205 nucleotides long. NCBI's taxonomy places the organism in Eukaryota, Viridiplantae, Streptophyta, Magnoliopsida, Poales, Poaceae. The record is from Rfam.
AAAAAGACAAACACUAGGUUUUCGUGUUCAACAUUUGACCGUCCGUCUUAUAUGAAUUUUUUUUAUAAUUAGUAUUUUCAUUGUUGUUAGAUGAUAAAACAUGAGUAAUAUUUUAUGCAUGACUUAUCUUUUUAAUUUUUUUUAUAUUUUUUUAAAUAAGAUGGACGGUAAACGUUGGACACGAAAAUCUAGAGUUUGCCUUUUU